Ipomoea nil (Japanese morning glory) is the source of this 72-nucleotide transfer RNA. It matches the Rfam family "tRNA". Rfam says of the family: Transfer RNA (tRNA) molecules are approximately 80 nucleotides in length. Their secondary structure includes four short double-helical elements and three loops (D, anti-codon, and T loops). NCBI's taxonomy places the organism in Eukaryota, Viridiplantae, Streptophyta, Magnoliopsida, Solanales, Convolvulaceae. The record is from Rfam.
GCCGCCUAGCUCAGUCGGUAGAGCGCAAGGCUCUUAACCUUGUGGUCCUGGGUUCAAGUCCCAGGGUGGGCG